GUAGAUUUGAAGUUGUGCCCGUAGUUUGUUUUACCCCAAACACUAAAGAAUUCAGUGUUCUUGAAGGAGCUACUGGAGCUGUCUUUGGCAUUUAAUGACAGUUUCACAAUGUGAUUAGGUUGUACCUCAUAUCUGAAGAGAGCUCAGCCUGUACAUCCUGGGCAACUUUGUAGCCCCUGCUUCUUUGAACUGAUGUAUAUUGCUUUGUGUCUGAACAUUAAUCCAGGCCUUUUCUUUUAUUUCUAGCCCACUGCUUAUGAAAAGACUCCUGUGCCCAGUAAGAAGGAAAAUAUAGACAACUUUGACACGAGUUUUACAAGUUCUGUAGGUAGCAGACUCCCUCCAGUUGAGCUCAAGGGAGAAGUAGAGAAACCACCUGUGACGUCAA
Molecule: long non-coding RNA, 388 nt
Filed under: Bos taurus (domestic cattle)
Lineage: Eukaryota; Metazoa; Chordata; Mammalia; Artiodactyla; Bovidae
Description: long non-coding RNA NONBTAT007109
Source: RNAcentral